ACAUGAAGCUGGAAUCGCUAGUAAUCGCGGAUCAGCAUGCCGCGGUGAAUACGUUCCCGGGCCUUGUACACACCGCCCGUCACACCACGAGAGUUUGUAACACCCGAAGUCGGUGGGGUAACCUUUUGGAGCCAGCCGCCUAAGGUGGGACAGAUGAUUGGGGUGAAGUCGUAACAAGGUAGCCGUAUCGGAAGGUGCGGCUGGAUCACCUCCUUUCUA
Molecule: ribosomal RNA, 219 nt
Filed under: Bacillus cereus
Lineage: Bacteria; Bacillati; Bacillota; Bacilli; Caryophanales; Bacillaceae
Description: partial 16S ribosomal RNA
Rfam family: Bacterial small subunit ribosomal RNA
Source: RNAcentral